GACGAACGCUGGCGGCGCGCCUAACACAUGCAAGUCGAACGAGCGAGAGAGAGCUUGCUUUCUCGAGCGAGUGGCGAACGGGUGAGUAACGCGUGAGGAACCUGCCUCAAAGAGGGGGACAACAGUUGGAAACGACUGCUAAUACCGCAUAAGCCCACGGGUCGGCAUCGACCAGAGGGAAAAGGAGCAAUCCGCUUUGAGAUGGCCUCGCGUCCGAUUAGCUAGUUGGUGAGGUAACGGCCCACCAAGGCGACGAUCGGUAGCCGGACUGAGAGGUUGAACGGCCACAUUGGGACUGAGACACGGCCCAGACUCCUACGGGAGGCAGCAGUGGGGAAUAUUGCACAAUGGGGGAAACCCUGAUGCAGCGACGCCGCGUGGAGGAAGAAGGUCUUCGGAUUGUAAACUCCUGUUGUUGAGGAAGAUAAUGAUGGUACUCAACAAGGAAGUGACGGCUAACUACGUGCCAGCAGCCGCGGUAAAACGUAGGUCACAAGCGUUGUCCGGAAUUACUGGGUGUAGAGGGAGCGCAGGCGGGAAGACAAGUUGGAAGUGAAAUCCAUGGGCUCAACCCAUGAACUGCUUUCAAAACUGUUUUUCUUGAGUAGUGCAGAGGUAGGCGGAAUUCCCGGUGUAGCGGUGGAAUGCGUAGAUAUCGGGAGGAACACCAGUGGCGAAGGCGGCCUACUGGGCACCAACUGACGCUGAGGCUCGAAAGUGUGGGUAGCAAACAGGAUUAGAUACCCUGGUAGUCCACACCGUAAACGAUGAUUACUAGGUGUUGGAGGAUUGACCCCUUCAGUGCCGCAGUUAACACAAUAAGUAAUCCACCUGGGGAGUACGACCGCAAGGUUGAAACUCAAAGGAAUUGACGGGGGCCCGCACAAGCAGUGGAGUAUGUGGUUUAAUUCGACGCAACGCGAAGAACCUUACCAAGUCUUGACAUCCCUUGACGAUGCUGGAAACAGUAUUUCUCUUCGGAGCAAGGAGACAGGUGGUGCAUGGUUGUCGUCAGCUCGUGUCGUGAGAUGUUGGGUUAGGUCCCGCAACGAGCGCAACCCUUAUGGUCAGUUACUACGCAAGAGGACUCUGGCCAGACUGCCGUUGACAAAACGGAGGAAGGUGGGGAUGACGUCAAAUCAUCAUGCCCUUUAUGACUUGGGCUACACACGUACUACAAUGGCGUUAAACAAAGAGAAGCAAGACCGCGAGGUGGAGCAAAACUCAGAAACAACGUCCCAGUUCGGACUGCAGGCUGCAACUCGCCUGCACGAAGUCGGAAUUGCUAGUAAUCGUGGAUCAGCAUGCCACGGUGAAUACGUUCCCGGGCCUU
Molecule: ribosomal RNA, 1333 nt
Filed under: uncultured bacterium
Lineage: Bacteria
Description: bacterial SSU rRNA
Rfam family: Bacterial small subunit ribosomal RNA
Source: RNAcentral